This 70-nucleotide transfer RNA is filed under the name Scopus umbretta (hamerkop). It matches the Rfam family "tRNA". Rfam says of the family: Transfer RNA (tRNA) molecules are approximately 80 nucleotides in length. Their secondary structure includes four short double-helical elements and three loops (D, anti-codon, and T loops). Further hydrogen bonds mediate the characteristic L-shaped molecular structure. tRNAs have two regions of fundamental functional importance: the anti-codon, which is responsible for specific mRNA codon recognition, and the 3' end, to which the tRNAs corresponding amino acid is attached (by aminoacyl-tRNA synthetases). tRNAs cope with the degeneracy of the genetic code in two manners: having more than one tRNA (with a specific anti-codon) for a particular amino acid; and 'wobble' base-pairing, i.e. permitting non-standard base-pairing at the 3rd anti-codon position. The record is from Rfam by way of RNAcentral. Lineage: Eukaryota; Metazoa; Chordata; Aves; Pelecaniformes; Scopidae. RNAcentral also lists the same sequence under 3 other names.
AGAAGCUUAGGUUCACUUAAACCGGAGGCCUUCAAAGCCUUAAACAAGAGUUAAACCCUCUUAGCUUCUG